UUGAUUCUGAUUACCUCUGGGCGAUUAUGAGGAAAUCAUCUUCCAUAAAUCGCAAAACUUGAUUUCUGGUUCAAUCUGAGGUUUGAUCAUCCAAGGUAAUACUUUUUCUUCGUGAUGGAAAGCUGGUGUUUACAUUUGGUCGACGAUUGGUCAGCGGCUACCGAUUGUAGACUGAUUCAACCUUCGUGAAACCCAAAUUUUUAUUGUCUCUGAAUUCCAGCUUUCACUAACUCACAUGUACUAUCAAUUUCAGAAGUGAACGCUAAUGAUGAUGAGUUAGGUUGGUUAUCGGCUUCUCAAGCAGAUAAGAUAGCCCUAAUGUAUUGAUGGA
This 331-nucleotide long non-coding RNA is filed under the name Helianthus annuus (common sunflower). RNAcentral describes it as "sRNA HanXRQr2_Chr14g0638291". The record is from RNAcentral. Lineage: Eukaryota; Viridiplantae; Streptophyta; Magnoliopsida; Asterales; Asteraceae.